UACGUAGGGGGGCAAGCGUUGUCCGGAAUCAUUGGGCGUAAAGAGCGUGUAGGCGGUCCGGUAAAUCGGUUGUGAAAGUCCAGGGCUCAACCCUGGGAUGCCGACCGAUACUGUCGGACUAGAGUUCGGAAGAGGCGAGUGGAAUUCCCGGUGUAGCGGUGAAAUGCGCAGAGAUCCGGAAGAACACCGGUGGCGAAGGCGGCCCGCUGGGCAGGAAGGCUCGCAAGAGCCGGCUGACGCUGAGGCGCGACAGCGUGGGGAGCAAACAGG
RNAcentral lists this ribosomal RNA (270 nucleotides) under uncultured bacterium. RNAcentral describes it as "partial 16S ribosomal RNA". It matches the Rfam family "Bacterial small subunit ribosomal RNA", at positions 524 to 776 of the family's 1533-position model. The record is from RNAcentral.